GGGGCGGCCGCGCACGGACGGGCGGCGCCGCUCCGUCGGCACCUUCUGCCCUCGCAGGCGGCGGAGGCUGUAUGUGGGCAGCUGGCAAACUGUCUGUCUCCUUCCUGGCUUUGGCUGUGUCCGGGGAGCGAUUUGACUGCGUUCAGUUUCCCGAGUUUGGUUGAUUUUUGGUGGGCUAAAGCAGUCGGUUUGUCCCUGAGAAAGUAAGCGGCGCUUUCCGUGCUCGGAUUUGGUGCUGAGAGAGGAGACCCGAGUAGUUUUGCACAGCUUGACUUGUCACCCGAGCAGCUGGCAGGGGUGGCAGCGGGAUGGAAAAAUGGGAGCACGAUUGGGCUGGCUGCCUGCGCAAAAGGAUGGUUCAGUCAGUGCUGGAGCAAGGGCAGAACUGCCGCAUAUUAGCCAGAGAAGUGCUGGGCUUGGAACGUGUCCUGCAGACGGCCGCCUCUGCAGCCAGCUUUGCUCGCUGGCCUGGGCAGAUGCCGAAUUCUUUCCAAGAACUUGGCGUGGCGGUCUCCUAAAGCAGCAGGGCCUAUCCUAUAAUGAUUUAAAUCAUCUGUUCAGAAGAAGCAUUAAUGGGAUUUGCAUAAGACUCCUGACAUUUUGCUGAUGUUCCUGUUAAGAAGACCUAUCACCUCAUUUUGAAAACACUAAUAAAAGCACCAGUAUUCAAACUGCAGGGUUUAAAUGCUCACUGCAGGGUUUAAAUGUUCACAGUGGGUUAACAUCAGGCAUUCUGCUGCAGAACAGAAUUGUGAUUUAUAAGUUUGUGGUUUGUUCUCACAUGGUGUACAAGGAGAUGGACAUACAAGAAUGAUACUGUCAGCAAAAAGGUUUUUAUUUCUUUUGAAAAAGGGGAGGGCUAAGUUAGAAAGAAAAGUCUAAUUUCAGCUUAUCAGAACAGGACACAUCUUCAUGUUCAAGUCCGAUACCUCUGUGUCAUUCUGAGUUGUGAUAGUGACUGAAAAUGAAGUUCCUUGUUGUGCCGUAACAAUUGAGCUCUAUUUAGGUGAGGUUUUUUUGUUCAUUGAAGUUUUUAAGUGGGAUAGCUUGAGCUCCAGCAUGCCAGGUAAAUAAUCUCAGUGUACCAUCAUGGUAACGUAUAGCAGCACCAACACAUCCUCAGUUUUGAGAGUAUUAUGAAUGUUUAAAAUGUGCUUGCAGUUCUGGGCUGCUUAAAUCGUGAACACUGAAAACACAUCUGUGAAAUGUUCCUGGUUGUUUUGGAAAUGUGCUAGUUUUAAAAAGUUGUGCAACAAACAGCAGAAACAUAGAAAUGCUGUGGGAGUUUUACAGGGAAACUGACAUUUUGAAAUCUGAACUGUACCUAGCUUCCUGUUUUGGGUGUAACCUGGAGAUCUAUAAGCAAGUCAGUUUCUGAACUGGAUAGGUAAUUAAAUAAUAUCCAUGGAUUGAUGGCAUAUUCCUAAGAGAGUGUUUGCAUUGGCCUUAAAAUACAAUAUUCCAUUUCAUAAAUGAGAGAGCUGAAGAAUAUUUACAAAGUGACCUGUAUCAGUUUAACUGAUGGGGAUAAAUGUGACCUAAGGCAGUUUUUUAUUUUAAACCAUGUAAAGGUACUUUUGGCAGAGAGGCAUCAUGGUAAUGAUCCAAAGAGAAAUGUCUGAGCCCUGCAUUUAACAAAUGGAAUGGAAGGUCAUGUUCAGGCUUGAAUGUGAACCUUUAAUGAAGGACUCUUUAGACGUCAUUAACUUCUUAAUGACACUGAUAUCACUGUGUGCCUCUUUGCACUGAGCUUUGUGCAUUGUGACGCUAUCUUGAAGCAAGGACAAGUAGUAUGGCCUCUGUAUUAGAGGAGCAGAUUUAUUCUUUGGGGUAAGCAAGCUGCUUGCAACUGUUCUGGCACAUGAAAAUCAGUUAGAUCCUUGUUUCAGAUUUGCAGAUGGUAGUGGUUCUUGAGUCUUUCAGUAUUACAGAGUAAGCAUAAUUUUAUAUGUAUCUCUUUCCAUGCAGAACUAAGAAAUACUGCCUCUAAUGACAACACCUCUGGCCUCUUUUCAUCCAGGAGUUAGGAGUGCUAAAAUCUUCAAUGGGCCUUAGAAAAAGAUUGGGCAAGCUCAAGAAAAGAAUUGAUCUGCCAAAUAUAAAGACACCAUUAUGGUAUUGAGUCCUGGGCCAUAGAAGGCUAGGUGUCACAGCAUAUGCCACAGUGGGGACAGCCACAAUACACAGGGUAUCGCCAUACAAUUUCAUAAAGCUUCAACCCACACAGAGUAACACCAUAUCACUUUAGAAGGCUUCAGGCAUCUGCCCGUGCAGAGUAACAUCACUUCGGAAGGCUGCAAGCGUCUGCUCAUCUUGUUUAGAUCCUUUUGUACCCCUCAUGUUCAUGCAUUGCACCUGAGUGCCCUGUGUCCUCUGGUAUGGUCAGUGCACCUGGGCACUGCAUGGCUCAUUGCUGUCAGUGCUGUUCACCUGCUUCUCACAGCUGUACACUGGGGAUGAGGCUUGGCUGCAGCCCCACUCCCAGUUACCACAAACUACUUGCAGCUAGGGAGUGGGAUUGGAACUACGUACAUGUCUUGUUCUUUGCUUCCUGUGCUCACUUUUGUCCAAUGUCACGGAAAUGGUGUGUCUCUGGUAUGGUAAUUUGUACAACUGUAAUGUACUUAAAGUGCUGGAAGUGUCUUGGUCUUGGCUGUGAAAACCCCAGGGCACUCAUUGCCUGUAAGAAAGAUUCUCGUGCCCCAGUUAAUGCCAGAACGCUGUCACAGCAGUGGUGCUUUCACUGGCUCAAUUUUAAAAACGUGCAGGUGCAGUGAGGCACAAGAGCAUCCGCGAUUACCGUGCGUGUCGUGACCACGAGGGGGCCCUGGCAGCUUCGGUCUGGCUGAGCCCGGACUUACACUGGUACAGGGGCAGGGCUGAUAGCUUGGUGCCUCAGUGUUCAGCACUUCUGAAUUACCUCUUCUAUAUUUUCAUUUUAUUACAGUAUUUUGCUGUGUAAUUUUGAGAAAUUCAUCUUGUUAUAAAAACUCAACAUUAGCCAUUUGUUCUCUGUGGCAGAAGACAUUACCAAGCAGGUCAUCACAUGUGAGUUUUCAUUUGUAUGAACAAUUUCCCCAAGUAAAAAGUUCAAGAGUUUUGCACACAUCACUGUAUUUCUAAAGUAGAAGGAAUUGGUAUGAAAAAUCUUAAUGAUAAGAUCUUUUGUAUAUCUUAAGCUUGGUAUUACAGUAUUUCAAUAAAGAUUUUCUUUCUCUGCA
Lonchura striata (white-rumped munia) is the source of this 3221-nucleotide non-coding RNA. NCBI's taxonomy places the organism in Eukaryota, Metazoa, Chordata, Aves, Passeriformes, Estrildidae. The record is from RefSeq and is a predicted model, not a curated record.